Molecule: ribosomal RNA, 499 nt
Filed under: uncultured bacterium
Lineage: Bacteria
Description: partial 16S ribosomal RNA
Rfam family: Bacterial small subunit ribosomal RNA
Source: RNAcentral
GACGAACGCUGGCGGCGUGCCUAAUACAUGCAAGUCGAGCGAAGAGUUGCUGGUUCUUGCCCCCGGAAGACUUAGCGGGGCGCGUGUGUGUAACAUGUAAAGAAUCCCUCUCAGACAGGGGUACAACUAGUGGAAAGGAUAUAAUACACCGGAAUAUAUCAAAAACCGCAGGGCAGUAGUUUAAAAGGGUGUUUUUGUAACUCAAAGAUGUGGCCUUGCGGUGCAUUAGCUUGUUGGAGGGGUAAAGGCCUACCAAGGCGACGAUGCAUAGCCGACCUGAGAGGGUGAUCGGCCACACUGGAACUGAGACACGGCCCAGACUCCUACGGGAGGCAGCAGUAGGGAAUCUUCCGCAAUGGGCGAAAGCCUGACGGAGCAACGCCGCGUGAGUGAUGAAGGAUUUCGGUUCGUAAAGCUCUGUUGUUAGGGAAGAAUGAAUGUGUAGUAACUAUACACAGUAGAGACGGUACCUAACCAGAAAGCCACGGCUAACUACGUG